GGACACGUAGCUCAGUCCGGACCAGAGCGUCGGACUUCUAAUCCGACGGUCGUGAAUCUUCCGUUCUCA
Molecule: transfer RNA, 69 nt
Filed under: Halobacteriales archaeon QH_2_65_14
Lineage: Archaea; Methanobacteriati; Methanobacteriota; Halobacteria; Halobacteriales
Description: tRNA-Arg
Rfam family: tRNA
About the family: Transfer RNA (tRNA) molecules are approximately 80 nucleotides in length. Their secondary structure includes four short double-helical elements and three loops (D, anti-codon, and T loops).
Source: RNAcentral